GAGUUUGAUCCUGGCUCAGAUUGAACGCUGGCGGCAGGCCUAACACAUGCAAGUCGAGCGGUAGCACAGAGAGCUUGCUCUCGGGUGACGAGCGGCGGACGGGUGAGUAAUGUCUGGGAAACUGCCUGAUGGAGGGGGAUAACUACUGGAAACGGUAGCUAAUACCGCAUAACGUCGCAAGACCAAAGAGGGGGACCUUCGGGCCUCUUGCCAUCAGAUGUGCCCAGAUGGGAUUAGCUAGUAGGUGGGGUAACGGCUCACCUAGGCGACGAUCCCUAGCUGGUCUGAGAGGAUGACCAGCCACACUGGAACUGAGACACGGUCUAGACUCCUACGGGGGGCAGCAGUGGGGAAUAUUGCACAAUGGGCGCAAGCCUGAUGCAGCCAUGCCGCGUGUAUGAAGAAGGCCUUCGGGUUGUAAAGUACUUUCAGCGGGGAGGAAGGUGUUGUGGUUAAUAACCACAGCAAUUGACGUUACCCGCAGAAGAAGCACCGGCUAACUCCGUGCCAGCAGCCGCGGUAAUACGGAGGGUGCAAGCGUUAAUCGGAAUUACUGGGCGUAAAGCGCACGCAGGCGGUCUGUCAAGUCGGAUGUGAAAUCCCCGGGCUCAACCUGGGAACUGCAUUCGAAACUGGCAGGCUAGAGUCUUGUAGAGGGGGGUAGAAUUCCAGGUGUAGCGGUGAAAUGCGUAGAGAUCUGGAGGAAUACCGGUGGCGAAGGCGGCCCCCUGGACAAAGACUGACGCUCAGGUGCGAAAGCGUGGGGAGCAAACAGGAUUAGAUACCCUGGUAGUCCACGCCGUAAACGAUGUCGACUUGGAGGUUGUGCCCUUGAGGCGUGGCUUCCGGAGCUAACGCGUUAAGUCGACCGCCUGGGGAGUACGGCCGCAAGGUUAAAACUCAAAUGAAUUGACGGGGGCCCGCACAAGCGGUGGAGCAUGUGGUUUAAUUCGAUGCAACGCGAAGAACCUUACCUACUCUUGACAUCCAGAGAACUUUCCAGAGAUGGAUUGGUGCCUUCGGGAACUCUGAGACAGGUGCUGCAUGGCUGUCGUCAGCUCGUGUUGUGAAAUGUUGGGUUAAGUCCCGCAACGAGCGCAACCCUUAUCCUUUGUUGCCAGCGGUCCGGCCGGGAACUCAAAGGAGACUGCCAGUGAUAAACUGGAGGAAGGUGGGGAUGACGUCAAGUCAUCAUGGCCCUUACGAGUAGGGCUACACACGUGCUACAAUGGCGCAUACAAAGAGAAGCGACCUCGCGAGAGCAAGCGGACCUCAUAAAGUGCGUCGUAGUCCGGAUUGGAGUCUGCAACUCGACUCCAUGAAGUCGGAAUCGCUAGUAAUCGUAGAUCAGAAUGCUACGGUGAAUACGUUCCCGGGCCUUGUACACACCGCCCGUCACACCAUGGGAGUGGGUUGCAAAAGAAGUAGGUAGCUUAACCUUCGGGAGGGCGCUUACCACUUUGUGAUUCAUGACUGGGGUGAAGUCGUAACAAGGUAACC
Molecule: ribosomal RNA, 1500 nt
Filed under: uncultured bacterium
Lineage: Bacteria
Description: 16S ribosomal RNA
Rfam family: Bacterial small subunit ribosomal RNA
Source: RNAcentral